GCUACAGGCUUAACACAUGCAAGUCGAGGCGUUUCGGGAAGAAAGCUUGCUUUCUUUGCCGGCGACCGGCGCACGGGUGAGUAACACGUAUCCAACCUGCCCUUUACUCGGGGAUAGCCUUUCGAAAGAAAGAUUAAUACCCGAUAGUAUAAUGAUUCCGCAUGGUUUCAUUAUUAAAGGAUUCCGGUAAAGGAUGGGGAUGCGUUCCAUUAGGUUGUUGGUGAGGUAACGGCUCACCAAGCCUUCGAUGGAUAGGGGUUCUGAGAGGAAGGUCCCCCACAUUGGAACUGAGACACGGUCCAAACUCCUACGGGAGGCAGCAGUGAGGAAUAUUGGUCAAUGGGCGCUAGCCUGAACCAGCCAAGUAGCGUGAAGGAUGAAGGCUCUAUGGGUCGUAAACUUCUUUUAUAUAAGAAUAAAGUGCAGUAUGUAUACUGUUUUGUAUGUAUUAUAUGAAUAAGGAUCGGCUAACUCCGUGCCAGCAGCCGCGGUAAUACGGAGGAUCCGAGCGUUAUCCGGAUUUAUUGGGUUUAAAGGGAGCGUAGGUGGACUGGUAAGUCAGUUGUGAAAGUUUGCGGCUCAACCGUAAAAUUGCAGUUGAUACUGUCAGUCUUGAGUACAGUAGAGGUGGGCGGAAUUCGUGGUGUAGCGGUGAAAUGCUUAGAUAUCACGAAGAACUCCGAUUGCGAAGGCAGCUCACUGGACUGCAACUGACACUGAUGCUCGAAAGUGUGGGUAUCAAACAGGAUUAGAUACCCUGGUAGUCCACACAGUAAACGAUGAAUACUCGCUGUUUGCGAUAUACAGUAAGCGGCCAAGCGAAAGCAUUAAGUAUUCCACCUGGGGAGUACGCCGGCAACGGUGAAACUCAAAGGAAUUGACGGGGGCCCGCACAAGCGGAGGAACAUGUGGUUUAAUUCGAUGAUACGCGAGGAACCUUACCCGGGCUUAAAUUGCAGUGGAAUGAUGUGGAAACAUGUCAGUGAGCAAUCACCGCUGUGAAGGUGCUGCAUGGUUGUCGUCAGCUCGUGCCGUGAGGUGUCGGCUUAAGUGCCAUAACGAGCGCAACCCUUAUCUUCAGUUACUAACAGGUCAUGCUGAGGACUCUGGAGAGACUGCCGUCGUAAGAUGUGAGGAAGGUGGGGAUGACGUCAAAUCAGCACGGCCCUUACGUCCGGGGCUACACACGUGUUACAAUGGGGGGUACAGAAGGCAGCUAGCGGGUGACCGUAUGCUAAUCCCAAAAUCCUCUCUCAGUUCGGAUCGAAGUCUGCAACCCGACUUCGUGAAGCUGGAUUCGCUAGUAAUCGCGCAUCAGCCACGGCGCGGUGAAUACGUUCCCGGGCCUUGUACACACCGCCCGUCAAGCCAUGGGAGCCGGGGGUACAAGAAGUACGUAACCGCAAGGAUCGUCCUAGGGUAAAACUGGA
Molecule: ribosomal RNA, 1430 nt
Filed under: uncultured organism
Description: SSU rRNA
Rfam family: Bacterial small subunit ribosomal RNA
Source: RNAcentral